GCCCCGCGCGCUGCGCUCCGCCGCCCGCCGAGACACACUCAGGUCCGCGGACAGCGGCCGCAGCAGCGCAGACGAGGGGGAGCUGCGCGUCGCAGAGUCAGUACAUUUCGAGUAUUCAUCGCGGUAUCUCAUGGAGUCGGUCCUCUAGUUUCCUAAGAUGUAGUUUCACCGGAAUGGAGAUUCACGCCUAUUUUUGACUAUGAAAAUAAUUACAGAUUUCUGUUUCGCGAUAUUCUGAAAUUUCUUAAGAAAAUCACUUCGCUUUGAAAUAAAUCGUACCUGGCAAUAAUAAUUUAACAUUUUGUAGGAGCGACGCGUCCCCGCCGCGCGACACCUCGCCCUAGAGUGCGGAGUGCGGAGUGCGGGGCGGCGCGGAGCGUGGCGCAGCUGAACGACACGGCCAGUUGACAGACCGCCCGACCUGCAAAUCUAAUGUUUAUAUAACUUUAUUAAGAAUAAAUGUAUCUUUGCUGUU
Papilio machaon (common yellow swallowtail) is the source of this 475-nucleotide long non-coding RNA. RefSeq lists it as uncharacterized. The record is from RefSeq and is a predicted model, not a curated record. The transcript has 2 exons. NCBI's taxonomy places the organism in Eukaryota, Metazoa, Arthropoda, Insecta, Lepidoptera, Papilionidae.